RNAcentral lists this long non-coding RNA (749 nucleotides) under Homarus americanus (American lobster). RNAcentral's name for it is "uncharacterized LOC121854976, transcript variant X3". Lineage: Eukaryota; Metazoa; Arthropoda; Malacostraca; Decapoda; Nephropidae. The record is from RNAcentral.
CUCUUUAAUUUUUCUCUCCUCAGAAGAAACAUACAUCAUCAAUAUCUUGGAGUGAAGACGAGACACAGGCAUCAGGGAACUUGAAGGACCAGGGAUACACUUGGCUGAAAGACAAAGCAGGUAGUGAAGAUGGCAGGAAGCAGCAGGCAAGAUUACGGGAGCUGGCACAAUUAGCAGAACGUCUUGGCUGCACUCUGACCCAACUCUCAGUAGCAUGGAGCAUGAAGAACGAAAACCUACAUUGCGUUUUGAUUGGUGCAGCUACUGUCGAGCAGCUCUUAGAGAAUAUCAACUCCUUGCAGGUUUUACCCAAGCUGAAGCCAGAUCACAUCGCAGAGUUGGAGCGAAUUCUCGACAACAAGCCCGUUCGUCCUCCCAUAGUAUCGACUUUGGCGCAAAGAUGACAAGAGCUUGCAGCGCAGGGUCUUGAGGAAGAGAGUGAGGAGGAAUCUGCGCCUAAAACUCCCUUCUGUGUCAUCAUGUAAAGAUUUCGUUACCCCUUGUGCUGAACGCUGUGAUGUGGUCGCAGCUAACCUCAACAUCACCAUAACAACAACAGAUUUUUCGUGUUCGUCUCCACAUGAUGUUUACCUCCCGUGUUCAUUACCUUCUCCCAUCAUGCAAUAGAUCGCUGAGGCGUGUGUUGGUUACCUCUUAUGAUAGACGAUAUUAGGAAAGGAAAACACUAAGAAGAGAUUAGACCAUUAUUUUUAUCUUUAACCUAACCUAACUAAAUCUAACCUAAGCUA